This 261-nucleotide long non-coding RNA is filed under the name Linum usitatissimum (flax). Its description in RNAcentral is "long non-coding RNA (LUSI_LNC005688)". The record is from RNAcentral. Lineage: Eukaryota; Viridiplantae; Streptophyta; Magnoliopsida; Malpighiales; Linaceae.
UUGUUACUACCCAACUUCUGAGAGGGGAUGGGAUUCCAAGGGUACAACGAGAUCAUGAAUUCAUCAUUAUUUCUCUAACUGUCCGUGUCGGUCUCCUGUACAAAUAAACGAUAUUGAUUGAUUAAUAAUUGCUCCAAUAACCAAUUUAACUGGAAAAGCAAUUUCCUGGCAAGCAGAAACACAGAUACUAAGCGGCAACAAAAAAGAUAACGUCCGGUCCAAAUAAAUGUAUAUUACCAUAAUAAUAAAAUAAAAAUAAAA